UAAACCAACAAGAAUUCACAACAACCAAGCACACACACAAGAAAAACAAGAAAGCGAAUAAAGGACACAUAGAUUUAACGAGGUUCACUAUCAACGUGAUAGCUACGUCCUCAAGGCAGGGAAAAAGAUUGUUUCACUAUGAACGAGACGAUUACAAAUACAAUAGGCAAGAUUCAAUUGAAUUGAAUCUCAAAGACUCUCUCUAAUCUCCUCUAUUGUGUUUUCUCUAAUCUCUCUCUCUAGUAUUUUGUGGUUAAAAGCCCUAAAUAUGGCAAAACAUAUUUAUAUGAAGUCUAAGAUACAAGCCCUAAGUCGUAAAAUAAAAAACGGAAAAUCCCGCAUCCCCGAUAGGUGCGGGCGCACCACCUUCUGGUGCGGGCGCACCAACUCCUGGUGCGGGCGCACCAAUCUGAUGUGCGGGCGCACAAAAGUUUCUGCCUCAACUUGAAAUCUGUCGUAGCGAAUGUGCGGGAGCACCACUACUUGGUGCGGGCGCACCUGACAUGGUGCGGGCGCACCGACAUUUGGUGCGGGCGCACCAUUCGUGCCAAGCCAUUCUUCUCUCGCGCAAGUCACACUUCACAAUUCCAUUGACACUACAGGCUAUGAUGCAGUUAGUGAUGCUGUUACAGCCAGAGACAAUUUGGUGUUUUUGAGGAGGUGGUUCAACAAGUUUCCACAGUAUAAACACAGGGAUCUUUUCAUUACGGGAGAAAGUUAUGCAGGCCACUAUAUUCCUCAGCUUGCAAAUCUCAUGGUUGCAUUCAACAAAAAGAAGUUGUUUAACUUAAAAGGAACAGCGGUAAGUGUCCAUUAAUGUUAUUUCAUCUUCGAAAAGGUUUAAAUUAUAAGUUAUCAGAUACAAUGGCUACUAUAUGUAGUACUUCACCUAAGUGAAAGAGAAUGUGAUGAAAUGGAAAAACAGAGGAAGAGAAAAAAGUCAAGAUAGUUUGUGAAAAUUGUACUGAAUAUGAUUAUUCAAUUUUUUGGCAUUGUAUCUCCAUUUUAAAAUCUUGUAAAAAAACUAAUAUUUUUUAUUUAUUUUUGAUGGGUCAUUAGGAUUGAGAGUGAGAGUAUGAAACAAAAUUGUAUGAUUAAUGUAGGAGGUGAUGAGAUUGAUGGUGGGAAUUAAUGUUAAACUAAAGUUUGAGUAGUAAAAAGUAAAAAGUAAAAAGAGGUUGAAGAAUAAGAGGAGAGAGAAAAGAAGGUGAUGAAUGAGAGGAGAGAGAAAAGAGUUUGGAAUUUUUAUAAUUAAUGUCAUGUCAGCUUUUUCUUUUUAAUUAAUGCCAUGUCACAUUUUUUUUUUAUUUUUGGGGAUGUUAACGGUACAAAACAAAGUUCAGUACCUUAAGUUAACAGACAUCCAAUUUGAGUACCUUAACUGGUACUUUUGAAAGUUCAGUACCUUAACUGAUACUUUCAUCAAAGUUCAGUACCCUCCUGGAUACUUAACUCUGUUAAAAUGAUAUAUUGUAUGUUAAAAUAAUAUAGUAUAUGUUAAAAAAUAUAGUACUCCAUCUGUAUUUUUUUUUUAUCAUUCUCACUUUCCUAUGCGCGUCUCCCAAUGCACCUCUUUGAACUUAAAUAUCUUUCCUUAUAUAUUAGUAAAAAUUAUAACAAUUGAAUAUUAAUAAUGUACUAAUUGAGACGAAUCAAACAAGAUCCCACAUGACUAUAUUUUUUCUUAUAAAUUGAAAAAAAUUGAGAAGAUUCUCUCUAAGUAUGAAUAGUGCCAAGAUUCCAAGUGAGAAAGAUAAAAAAAACAAAG
This is a long non-coding RNA of Beta vulgaris subsp. vulgaris (sugar beet), 1768 nucleotides long. RefSeq lists it as uncharacterized. The record is from RefSeq and is a predicted model, not a curated record. NCBI's taxonomy places the organism in Eukaryota, Viridiplantae, Streptophyta, Magnoliopsida, Caryophyllales, Amaranthaceae. The transcript has 3 exons.